Molecule: ribosomal RNA, 460 nt
Filed under: uncultured Hafnia sp.
Lineage: Bacteria; Pseudomonadati; Pseudomonadota; Gammaproteobacteria; Enterobacterales; Hafniaceae
Description: bacterial SSU rRNA
Rfam family: Bacterial small subunit ribosomal RNA
Source: RNAcentral
GUGCCAGCCGCUGCGGUAAUACGGAGGGUGCAAGCGUUAAUCGGAAUUACUGGGCGUAAAGCGCACGCAGGCGGUUGAUUAAGUUAGAUGUGAAAUCCCCGGGCUUAACCUGGGAACUGCAUUUAAAACUGGUCAGCUAGAGUCUUGUAGAGGGGGGUAGAAUUCCAGGUGUAGCGGUGAAAUGCGUAGAGAUCUGGAGGAAUACCGGUGGCGAAGGCGGCCCCCUGGACAAAGACUGACGCUCAGGUGCGAAAGCGUGGGGAGCAAACAGGAUUAGAUACCCUGGUAGUCCACGCCGUAAACGAUGUCGACUUGGAGGUUGUGCCCUUGAGGCGUGGCUUCCGGAGCUAACGCGUUAAGUCGACCGCCUGGGGAGUACGGCCGACAAGGUUAAACUCAAAUGAAUUGACGGGGCCCGCACAAGCGGUGGAGCAUGUGGUUUAAUUCGAUGCAACGCGAA